RNAcentral lists this ribosomal RNA (500 nucleotides) under uncultured bacterium. Its description in RNAcentral is "partial 16S ribosomal RNA". It matches the Rfam family "Bacterial small subunit ribosomal RNA", at positions 30 to 523 of the family's 1533-position model. The record is from RNAcentral.
AUUGAACGCUGGCGGAAUGCUUUACACAUGCAAGUCGAACGGCAGCACGGACUUCGGUCUGGUGGCGAGUGGCGAACGGGUGAGUAAUGUAUCGGAACGUGCCCAGUCGUGGGGGAUAACGUAGUGAAAAUUACGCUAAUACCGCAUACGAUCUAUGGAUGAAAGCGGGGGAUCGCAAGACCUCGCGCGAUUGGGGCGGCCGAUAUCAGAUUAGGUAGUUGGUGGGGUAAAGGCCCACCAAGCCAACGAUCUGUAGCUGGUCUGAGAGGACGACCAGCCACACUGGAACUGAGACACGGUCCAGACUCCUACGGGAGGCAGCAGCGGGGAAUUUUGGACAAUGGGCGAAAGCCUGAUCCAGCCAUUCCGCGUGCAGGAUGAAGGCCCUCGGGUUGUAAACUGCUUUUGUACAGAACGAAAAGGUUUCUACUAAUACUAGGAGCUCAUGACGGUACUGUAAGAAUAAGCACCGGCUAACUACGUGCCAGCAGCCGCAGUAA